UACAGAGGGGGCAAGCGUUGUUCGGAAUUACUGGGCGUAAAGGGCGCGUAGGCGGCCUGCUAAGUCGAACGUGAAAUCCCCGGGCUCAACCCGGGAACUGCGUCCGAUACUGGCAGGCUUGAAUCCGGGAGAGGGAUGUGGAAUUCCAGGUGUAGCGGUGAAAUGCGUAGAUAUCUGGAGGAACACCGGUGGCGAAGGCGGCUCUCUGGGCCUUACCUGACGCUGACACGCGAAAGCUAGGGGAGCGAACGGG
This 253-nucleotide ribosomal RNA is filed under the name uncultured bacterium. RNAcentral describes it as "partial 16S ribosomal RNA". It matches the Rfam family "Bacterial small subunit ribosomal RNA", at positions 524 to 776 of the family's 1533-position model. The record is from RNAcentral.